CUCUCACAUACUUCCUGAGGCCAGAGACUCGGGCUGUGGUUUUGACUGUGGCUCAGGCCCACACCGAGGCCAGUUCCCUUCCUUGAAUGGUGGGCUUUGCUCUCUGUCAAGCUCACUCCUCUCACUAGAACCGAUGCAUCCUGGGCCUUUUGCGAGCACUCUUGACUUCCUGCAUCCUGAUCCUAGCAACAUGCUCUGUCCUGACCUUGGCCUGGACCAGGAGCUGGGAGGCCUAGACUCUGCUGACCAUGGCAAGGAGCAAACACUCAGAACCUCAAGAUCCUCACCUCCAAAAUCAGGGUUUAUGCUAGCACAGCAAUUCUCAAAGUAUGGCCCCCAGACAGCGGCGUCAGGACCACCUGGAACUUGUUACAGGAACAGAUGCUCAGGCCCCACCCAGACCUACUCAUCAGAACCUAAGGGAGGCAGGGGAGAGGAGCCCAGAAGUCAGUUUUUAACAUGGUCUUCGGGCAGGACUGGUGCAGGCUAAGGGUUGAGAACCACUGAACUGGAAGAUCUCUAAAAUUCCUGCCAGGGAGGAUAAACCUACCAGACGUGUGGUCAUUAUGGUGGGUAUUAUUUAUGAAAUAACUUCAAUGUGCCCAGCUCUUUGCAAACAUUGUCUCUAUAACAACCCUCUAAAGUAGGUGUCAUUAAAUGUAUUUUCCAUGGGAAUGAAAUGAGGCCCAGAGAGGUUAAGUAACUCACGAAAGGACACACAGCUGGAGACAAGCAGGAGGAAGCUUUGCCCCCCGGCCGCCUCAUUGCGUGCUUCCCCACCACUCCACCUGGGCUACCACACUGAUGAGGGCCUGGCCCCCUGUCAGCAUUCUGUGGAGGUUGCUCACUUUCUGGUGGUCCUGCGACCUGCUCUUCCCACCUUAACAACUUGCCAGCCUCCCUCCCUGCCCUCCCUAUUACAGUACCUUCCAGCUCGGCCCCUCCUCCCACCCUCAGUCCAACGCCAAGUCCUGCCCUCCUCCGACUUCCAUGGCAAUGAACAGAGUCAUCACAACCGGUCCACAGGUCGACACCACAGUUGGAGCCAACUUGGCUCCUAGGGGAAAGAGACCAGGCCUAAGUUCAAGCCUGUGAUGGUCUGAAAAAGCACAGCCUCUCCCCUCACAACGUCCUCUAACAGAAAAGCCUCCUGCAGGACAUGACAGCUGGGCAGAAGGAGGCUGGGAAUGGGGCAGGAGAAAACCACAGCGGGACAGAGUGUGAGAAUGGAUCAUCACACAGUGCAGGCCUAUGGAGACAAAUCCAAGCUGAGGCUCAAGGAAAAGAAACACAAAUUGGAAAUCAGGCCUGAGACCUGAUCAUGCAUGAGCAUCAGAGUCUUUUCCAACGUGUCAACUGUUCGCAUGAGGUGGCCAAAGUACUGGAGUUUCAGCUUUAGGAUCAUUCCUUCCAAAGAAAUCCCAGGGCUGAUCUCCUUCAGAAUGGACCGGUUGGAUCUCCUUGCAGUCCAAGGGACUCUCAAGAGUCUUCUCCAACACCACAGUUCAAAAGCAUCAAUUCUUCGGUGCUCAGCCUUCUUCACAGUCCAACUUUCACAUCCAUACA
Molecule: long non-coding RNA, 1566 nt
Organism: Bos taurus (domestic cattle)
Lineage: Eukaryota; Metazoa; Chordata; Mammalia; Artiodactyla; Bovidae
Source: Ensembl